CCCUUAGAUGUUCUCGGCAGCACACGCGCUACACUGAAAGAGGCAACGUGUUUGCCUGAUUCGAAAGAAUUGGGUAACCCCCUAAUCUCUUUCGUGCUGGGGAUUGAGGUUUGCAAUUAUCCUUCAUGAACGAGGAAUUCCCAGUAAGUGCGAGUCAUUAUCUCGCGCUGACUACGUCCCUGCCCUUUGUACACACCGCCCGUCGCUACUACCGAUUGAAUGAUUUAGUGAGGACUUCGGACUGAGUCCAAUGCGGCUUUCGGGCUGCGUUGGUAUUUCGGAAAGAUGUCCAAACUGUAUCAUUUAGAGGAAGUAAAAGUCGUAACA
This 327-nucleotide ribosomal RNA is filed under the name uncultured eukaryote. Its description in RNAcentral is "partial 18S ribosomal RNA". It matches the Rfam family "Eukaryotic small subunit ribosomal RNA", at positions 1470 to 1796 of the family's 1831-position model. The record is from RNAcentral.